RNAcentral lists this microRNA precursor (57 nucleotides) under Strongyloides ratti. RNAcentral describes it as "microRNA str-mir-7880q precursor". The record is from miRBase by way of RNAcentral. Lineage: Eukaryota; Metazoa; Nematoda; Chromadorea; Rhabditida; Strongyloididae.
GGCUGGUUAGGCUGCAAAUCUGGCUUUAGAUCAUAUUUGCGACCAAAAUCAUGCCAC